RNAcentral lists this long non-coding RNA (30416 nucleotides) under Capsella rubella. Its description in RNAcentral is "long non-coding RNA (CRUB_LNC002975)". The record is from RNAcentral. Lineage: Eukaryota; Viridiplantae; Streptophyta; Magnoliopsida; Brassicales; Brassicaceae.
UUCGUCCAAAAGUUUUAUUACUUAAGCCCAGUGGGCAUGCAAAUACAGAAGAGUUAAACUAGAGGAUUACAAACGAAAUUUAAAAGGCCCAAACUAAACCAUAUUACAAAAUACAAAAGAUAAUAAAACUUUGAUGGUUUAGCAUAAGACACGUGGAGAUGAAGCACCUCCUCUAAGCCACGCAUCAAAUUGAAGCAGUUCCACGUCUCCACCGUCUGUUCUUCUCAAGCAUCACCGGCAUUCGAUUAGCCACCACCAAAUAACCCGAGGAUGAUGAGAAUCCUCUUAUCUUCUGCCGAUCUCAAAUCCAAUCAAAGGAUACGUCGAAGUCUACCGGAUCAAGUAUAUUAAACUUCUUCAAAUUUUCUUCGAGUAUCAUCAACUCCGGGGAAGCUCCACCACCGAUUACAUCCAGAUUUUGAUGUAAUACUUUGCUUUGCUCUUAUGAAAUGAGCAAAAUAAAAGUGACGAAGAUAUUACUCCUCGAAUAGCUGAAGAAACAAAGAAAAUUUGGAAGUGAUUAUCGGAGAAAUCAACGGGAAAAUAACAUAACUGGAUGAGAGAUCUUAUCUCGCUAAAACGAGAAAUAAAACCGGACUUAGCCGGUACAAAGAUCCGGAUCUUAGCCGGAAAUUAUAUUAUAUGACAAAAUUCCGGUGUACCGGAAAUCUCUUUCUCUCUCUGAAAAAUAGAGGUGUGAUAAGAGAGAGAAUGAACUAAGUUGUAAUCUAUUUCGGUUAAACUACACAAUAGUACCGUUGAUUUUAAAACCAAGGACACUAAACCCUUCACCUGAGCCAGAAGCUCUCUAGCCUACUUAGCUCACUUUAAGCUAGAAAAUCUUUUGUGUCACUCUGUCCCUUUUAGGGUUCUAAAUUCGUUGUAAUCCAAAGUUUGGGUACAAAACUACAAACCCGUCUUCCCUCUUUGGGUACGAACUAGAAUAAACUCUUUUUCUCUUUGCUUAUAAAAUGCUAAACCUUGGUUUUGUUUCUCUCAUUCUAAUAUCUGUUGGCAAAUCUUGUUCUGCAUACUUACUUCUCUCUGUUCAUGUUUGUUUACAGUUUCCUAAAGAGCUCAAAUUUUUCUUACAGAUUCCGGAAAUUGAAGCAACCACCAAAAGAAUGGCACCGAGAAAGAAGAAGACACAAACCAUGAUUUGGGUACAUACUCUUUUCUCUCCUUUUGGUACAAAAUUCGAAAAAAAAGUUGUCAUUUUUAUCGAGUUCUUGAAUUAGAUUUUGAUCCUCUGUUCAUGUUUCCUAAACUCUAGAAGCUGAAUUUGUCUCUUAGGUUAGGAAAUCGCAACAAUCAGAAACCAUGGCAACAACAGAGAAGAACAAAUCGCUACUAGACUGCUCUCAUCUCCUUGAAGAGCUACCGCAAAGUUACAGUAGUGUAUGAACUCUGUUUCUCUCCUCCUUUCAAGUUUGAGUUUGGAAAUGUGAUUUGAUUCUUGGAUUUCAAUGUUUGUUGGCAGAUUGUAGUUUUGUGUUUGUAUAUAUGGUGAAAAGAGGAUUUGAAAUCAAUCUAGAUGAAGCUUUAUACUUCUCAGGACAGCUAAUUGAUAUUUUUCAUUCAGGUUUUAAAACAACCUGCAAUGACAAUGCAAGACUGGUCUCUUCUCCCUGAGGAGCUACUUCACAUUAUCUCUGAGUAUCUUGAGGACUGUUUCGAUGUUAUUCAUGCUCGGUCUGUUUGCCACCUGUGGCGAUCUAUUUUUCCCUUUCCUUCUUGUCUACUACGCACUAGUUAUUCUCUCCCCUCGUUCACCAAGUUUCCUCGCAGAAGCAAAGGUCUUUGCACCCUUGAGAAGUUCCCUAUGUUCCUCUUUAAAGUCCUAUCUCCUGCAAUUACUGAUGCAGAGUUUUUUGUGGGAGGAAUAAACCGAGAUAAGUCAGAAGAUUGUAUGAAGCUUCAAUCUUCCAUUCAAUGUUCAGUGAAGGUGAAGAUCCAAAAUUCUGAACCAACCUUGUUGAACUUUCUCGACUGUCAGAUACUUCCUCUAGGUUAUCAGUACAAAAUGAUUGGUUUUGAUCCUACUUCAUUGGCAACAAGUUUCAGAGGUAUGGCUUUCCUACCGCUAAACAAAGAGGCAGGAGGAGGAGGAUUUGUUGUGCUUAUAGGAUACUCUCAUAGUUUGUUGGUGUUAAGGAGUGCAGAAAUGAGGUGGAUGCGGCUUGAGAAUUGCGCAGAAGCUGACUGCAAGCAUAUAAUCACAUUUAGAGGCAAGUUUUAUGCAGUCUUUAUUAGUGGAGAUGUUUUUGUUAUCGAUCCUUAUUCGCUGGAAGCAACUCCCUUGAGACCCUCAGAGCGUUUGACUUCACAAAACGAUCUUGUACCAUCUGGCAAUGAUGAGCUUUUCCUGGUUGAGAGAAUCAUUGUUCGUGGUACUGUAUUACAGCUUAGCAAGUUAGCAUGUAGAGACAGUAGGUUAGAUGAGGAGGCUGGUGAAUGGGUUGUGGUCAGCGAUUUGGGAGACCGUGUACUGCUUAUUGGAGAGCCGGGAAAUUGCGCUUUCUCAGCUAAGGAGCUUCCUGAUGGUUGUGGGGUGAGUGGGAACUCAAUGAUAUUCACCAAUGAGCCAUUCGGUGUAACUUACUCUUAUAAAUAUGGAGUGGAUACAGGAAACGCUGAAGACGACCUCAAUUUAUGGCGAUGCUCAAGAGAGACUCGUGUGAAGAUACUCAACAUGUCUCCGAUGGUGGCUUUUCGGGUUGAGUGCAAGAAGCCGUAAAAUCCUACUUUGGAUAACUGAAUCUGUUGGCUUUGUUUUUCUAGCUUUUGUAUGAUUUCAACUAAGGAUCUUGUGAUCUCUGAUGUUGUGGUGAAAUUCUAGUUUUAGUAAUUUGUCGUUCUAAACUUACCUAUCCCCUUUGUCUCUAUGGAAACGUUUGUCUCAUGAACUCUCUAAACCGUGUCUGGAUGUGCUCUUGUUAAUGUCUUUUGUAGUUAAUUAUCUAUCAUGCCUCUUGUAUUGCCAUCCAUUAUAUUAUAGUUUAAUUUCAGAUGAGCUGAUAAAAAAAAAGGUAACACAGAGUUCAGCUUCCCCUGAAGUGUUCUUGAACGUACUUUGCACCGUGUGCGUUUGGUGGUCAAACAUUUUUACGAGUGUUCAAUCUAAGACAGGGCAGGGAAGACACAUUGUUCUCCUCGUCGAUCGAAAAGGUGAGAAAUCAAAAUCUAUGCAGCUUCUCAUAUGCUUCAAUUUGGUUUGAAAAACUUCUUCUCUCCAUCAAUUUUUGCAUUGUGAUUUAUGAGAAAGGUAAUGUAACUGACUCGUGGUGAAUCAUAUGGUUUCUUCAUCAACUAUUAAACGUACAAUCUAUUAAUAAGAAAAUUCCAAAUUAGAACAGUUUACUCAAGUGUGUGAUGUUUUGUCAAAUUCCAUCUCACUCGUUGGGCUAAUGUGUCACAAAAGCAGUUAGUUCAAAUGAUCUUUUGAAGAAUUACCAGAGUACAAAGCAGUUUCUUGUUCACUGCAGUGUAAGAGAAGAGGGGACACACAUCGAUGGAAUCGUCCAUCAGUUGAAGAUUUCAAAAAACACAAUCUGAAUUUCAUUAAAUCUAACUGCAUGUAUCAGAGACCAAUACAAAACAAUAAACCCUAAUUAGUACCUUAAAGUCUACGACACUAUCAAAUCUAUUAAACCCCUAAGAGCAUGUCCAAUGAAAGUUUUUAAUUAAAAGUUCUUGGGUGUUUUUUGAUAAUAAAUUGUGCACUUUUCAAAAAUAAGAACUUUUUAAAAUUAUCCACCUCCAAUGGUAAAACUCUAAUUGGAGUUUUUAGAAACAAAAUUUUGAAAACUAAAAUUUGAUAAAACAGGAAAAUUAUUGAGAACUUUUGAGAAAUACCUCUUUUAGUGUAUCUUUUUCAAAAAUACCUAUUUAUCUAUCUAUUUUCAAAAAUACCUUGUUUAAAUAUGAAAAUUAUAAAGUUUUAUAUGAUUUAUAAGGUACUUUUACAUAAUAACUACUACUGAGAUUCGAUAUAAAUAUUUUAUAAUGUUUAAAAAGGUUUUAAAUCGUUUUUACAUAUUUUAAAGGUUUUUAAAGGUUUUUAUAAGUUACUUUACGCUAUUUAUAAAAAUUAUAUAAAAUUUUAUACGCAUACAAAAGUAAUUUGUGUGUAUAGUUAUAAGUUUAUACACAUAUUUUGAUAAAUUUCAACAUUUUUAGUGGUUUUUUUGAUUAAAUUUGAAAAUAGAGUAUUUUUAAAAAAUGAUAUGUGAUAAGUGGUAUUUUUGCAAUUUCCUCAAAAUUAUUAGAUUUUAUAAAAUUUGUAACACAUUAAACCCUACCCCCUAAAUACUAUACCCUAAAUUGCAAAUAAUCAACCCAAACCAAAGAUUUAAAAUUCCAUACCAUUGAACAAUAAUUUGAUUUUAGUGGUAUUUUUGGAAAGAAAACCAAAAUGAUGGUAUUGUGAGGAAUUCCUCUAAUAUAAAAACAUAAUAAAAAUACAUAGUACAAAUUAUAUUUUAAUUGUUACCAACAAAAUGUUUUUUUUUUCUUAAACUCAAACCACUCAUAUAUUGACAACUAACACUAAAAAAACUCUCCCAAAACUUCUAAAUUAAAAUACAUUUCUUAAUUUUAUUUUCAUUAUUGAUUUAUUUUUUUGUCUUUUAUUAUUAAGAAACUACUUAGCAAACCACCAUUGGACAUGGUCUAAACUAAUGAAACGAUCAUUACAAAUCUACUACCAUAUCAAAAAAAAAAUAACAUAAAUUGAAACCCUAAUUAGACUACUUCGGAUACACGGAUCAACAAAAUCAUUACACAACCACAAAAAAAAAAGACAUGUCUUGAAACCCUAAUCAAACUCUGUUUCAUUCUUGUAAUUGGUAAACAGGUUGGCGACAGAGAGGGCAUGAGUUCUUUUGUCGAUUCAUCCACUCAAUGACACAUUCUUUAUGAAACUGAUGCGAACAAUUAGUCAUGUCGUAGAUAUGUUCAAACUCCAACAUCUUCUCCAAACAAAUCGCACAAGUCUCUGUUUCUCCUUCUCCUUCUUCUUCUUCUUCUUCUUCUUCUUCGCUCUCUUGUAAACGAGGCACAACGAUGUAAACCUUCUGUGUCAAAGUGAUGUAGACAACCACGUAUAAGGAUUCAGAACUUUGACUUCUCAGCUGUUGGGUUUUAACAACAAUCUUCUCAGAUAUCAGCUUGGACAAGACACGGUUGUGGAGUUGGCUAAGAACAACUCGAUAGAUGUGGUUUUGUUCGAAGUUUUGGAUCUUCAGAUAGAUGAUAGGGGCAGGAGGAGAAGGAUCCGGGUAAGAUCUGAAACGUGUUACACUGUCAUCGUUCUUGUCUAUGAUAAGUUCUUCGAAUUCUCUGUCUGUACUGAUUAGUACAUUGCUUGAGAACUCUGACGAUGGAGUAUGAUGCCAAGCUGUUACAUGAACAUCAACGUCUACUGAUUUGGUUUCCAUGAUCAAAGAGAGAUGAUGAGUCGUUUAAGAGAUUGUAAUGAGAAAACGAGAGAGAACAGAGAAGAGAUUAUUGUGAAAGUAUGAAUUUGUUGUGAAAUAUGAAAUUGUGAAGUGUUAUUUUAUUAUAUUAUGCAUAUAAUUUCCUUUUUUCCUUCGAAUUUCCUUUUUUAUUUCCAAUUUCCAUUUUUGUUUUUUGGGGUCUAGAUAUUUAACGUUCGUUUACUGUUGUAUUUACUUUUUUUUUGGGGUAGAUAUCUAAUUAAACCGGAGCUAAACCAGUUCCAAUCGUUUCUCGGUUUAUUAUGUUUUGCUAUGUUUGGGCCUGGGCUAAUAAUUAAUACAGCCCAUCUUCUCAUAACGUAACCCAAUUUCAAUCAUAAACCGAAGACUAAACCACCGAGAAUGUAGUGUGUUCUUCUUCUUCUCCGUGAGUUUAAUAAACCGAGUUAUUAUGAAAUCAAUCCUUAACCGAAGACUAACCAUCGAGAUUGGAAUCGUAAACCAAUGUCACAAUUUUAGUGUGUUCUGCUUCUUCUUCUUCUUCUCCGUGAGUUCUUAAACAUAAACCAGAGGGUUUUGGGAACGAUUCAUCUUCUUCCCCUUUGCUACGAAAUUGAAAUUGAGACUCGAUUCUUUAAUACUUGCUGGCAAAUGUUACAUAGCCUCAUACGAUGAAUCGUCUUUCUUUUAAUCAUGUUCGUUUGCAAUAUCCUGAUUAAACCCUAGAAGCUUUCAGAUUUUCGAAAAUGGCAACGGAACAAGAUACGUCAUACCAAAUGCUAGAAUCAUCUCUCCUCCCUGAUUGUGUACGUUUGCUUCUGUGUUUGAGUUGAGAAAUUUGAUUUGAUUCUUCGUUUUCUCAAUGUUUGUUAGCUGAGAUGAGUUUUUUUGUUUGCAAAAUCGCAGUUGUCUCUGUCUCCGUCUCCAUCGGCGAAAAUGGAGCAAUCUGCAAGGAAAAAGCACACAUUGUGCAAGCCAGACUGGUCUCUGCUCCCUGAAGAGUUACUCCACUAUAUCUCCACCAAGCAUCUGGAAGAUCACUGUUUCGAUGUUGUCCAUGCUCGCUCUGUUUGCAGCUCGUGGAGAUCUUCAUUUCCAUUUCCUUCUUGCCUAUUACGUCCACGUUACUCUCUUCCAUCGCUACCCAAGUUCGGUUGGAAAAGAAAGGAAUUGUGCAUCCUCGAGAAGACCCCUAUGUUCCUGUUUAAAGUCCUAGAUACCACUGCUGCUUCUGCGUUGCCUUCUGAGUAUUUUAUGGGAGAUUUAAGCCGAGAUAAUCGUUUGGAGCUACCGUCUCAUCUUCAGUGUUCAGUUAAAGUGAAUGUCUCAGGAUCUAAUCCAUUCUUGAUGAACAUGCUUGACUGCCAAAUCCUCCCACUAGGGUAUCAGUACAGAAUGGUCGGUCGGAAUCCUGAAGAAAUGACGAUAGCUUUUCUUCCACUAAACAAGGAUGAAGGAGGAGAAGCAGGAGAAGAGUUUGUUGUGCUUCUCAGCUACUCUAGUUAUUUACUGAUGUUGACAAGUGCUGAAAUGAGGUGGAUGUGGCUUUCGAAUAUCCCAAAUGCUUCAUGCUCGGAGUUAGUCACUUUUCGAGGCAGAUUUUAUUUAGCCUUUCUUAACGGGGACAUUUGCGUUUUCGAUCCUUGUUCGCUUGAAGCGACUGACCUGAUGCCCUCACAGCCUCUGCGAUCAAGCAAUUAUCUGAUUUCAUCUGGCAAUGAUGAACUUUUUUUGGUUGAGAUAAUCGGGCCGUAUCCUUUGGGAUUAGCUUUUGGUCGAUUCACAUGUAGAGUCAGUCGGCUAGAUGAGGAGGCUAGUAAAUGGGUGGAGGUUCGCGAUUUGGGAAACCGUGCAUUGUUUAUUGGACUGCUGGGAAAUAGCUCGUGCUCGGCUAAGGAGCUUCCUGAUGGUUGUGGUGUGAGUAAGAACUCGAUUGUCUUCACCUUUGGGCCGUGCAAUGUAUCUUACAUCUAUAAAUAUGGAGUACAUACAGGAAACACGGAAGACGACCUCAAUUGGUGGAGAUGCGCAAGUGAGAGUCGUGUGAAUAUCUUCUACACGAAGUCAUAAAAUCUACCUUUGGAUCUACCCAAGAGUCUUAAGACAUCUAUUGGUUUUGGUUUGGUAAAGAUAUAGUGUCACGGACACAUGCUGAAGAUCAAGAUCACUCGAGAUUCAAGUCUUUGUUAAAUAAAUUGGAAACACAGUAGCGUAUAGAAAUUGUUGUCUCAUGAACUCCUCAAACAGUGUCUAGCUUUGUUGUCAUAUGUUUUGACAUAAUAAGUAUUAAGUAUGAUUAGAUUACCAUUAUUAUUGGUACUAUUUACACGAUUCAGUAAACAAUUCAGACAUAUUAAAGAACUAUUUUUGACAAUUAACUAGAAGGUCUCUCUCUCUCUCCUUUUACUCCGUGGUGUGACUGAAUUUUGGGUUAAAAACUUGUAAUCCAAAGUUUGGGUACGAAAUUGAAUAAUCUAUAUUUUGUUUUAUCGAAUUCUGAAUUGGGUUCGAAUCUCUCUUUCCAAUAUCUGUUGGCAAAAAUGUUGUUCUUGACAUAGUUACUUCACUCUGUUCAUGUUUUGUUCACAGUUUACCUAAACCCCUACAAAGCUUAGUUUUUUCAUACAGAUUUCGGAAAUUACAGCAAUCAGCAAAAACAUGGCACCGAGAAAGAAGACACCAACCAUGAUUUGGGUACGCACUCUUUUCUCUGCUUUUGAUACAAAAACUCGUAAAAGUUGUCAUUUUUAUCGAGUUCUUGAAUUGGAGUAGAUUCCUUGUUUCAAUACAAACUCGUUCUCUGUUCAUGUUUCCUAAAUCCUUAGAAGCUUAAUCUGUAUUUUAGGUUAGGAAAUCGCAACAACCAGAGAACAUGGCAACAACAGAGAAGAACAAAUCGCUACUAGACUGCUCUCCUCUCCUUGAAGAGUUACCGCAGAGUUCCAAUAGUGUAUGAACUCUUUUUCUCACUUAAUUUGAUUUGUAUAACUACGAGUUUGAGUUUAGUAAUUUGAUUUCAGAUGUAGUUUGCUAUAUGUAUGGUGAUAAAAAAAAAAGAUUGAAUCAGUCCAUAUGUAGCUUUACACAUCCAAUUCAUUGGCAGAACUAACGUAUUGAUUAGAUCUUCUCUGUUUCAUUCCUGUCCUAACACAAUGUUGUCCAUCCUUUUUCCUUUAGGUUUCAAAAUCGCAGCUUCCUCUUGCAACGGAAGAGCAUACAUUGUCCAAGAAAGACUGGUCUCUUCUUCCUGAAGAGAUUCUGCACAUUAUAUCUGAGAAGCUGGAGGACGGUUUCGAUGUUAUUCAUGCUCGGUCUGUUUGCCACCCGUGGCGAUUCGUUUUUCCGUUUCCUUCUUGCCUAUUACGCACUAGUUAUCAUCUUCCCUCGUUCGAAAAGUUUCCUCGCAAAGCUAGAGGUUUCUGCACUCUAGAGAAGUUCCCUAUGUUCCUCUUUCGAGUCCGAGCUCCCGCUGUUGCUGAUGAGUUGCCUUCUAAGUUUUUUGUGGGAGGAAUUAACCGAGAUAAGUUAGAGGAUCAUAUGCAACUUCCAUCUCCACUGCAAUGUUCGGUGAAAGUGAAGAUACAAGGAUCUGAUCCAUCCUUGAUGAACAUUCUCGAUUGUCAGAUUCUCCCUCUUGGCUAUCAGUGCAGAAUGAUUGGUUACGAUCCUAACUCAUUGGAAACCAGUUUUAGAGGCGUGGCUGUUCUACCGCUAAAUAAGGAGGAAGGAGGAAGAGAAUUCGUUGUGCUUAUUGGCUACUCUCAUUUAUUAUUGGUUCUAAGAAGUGCGGAAAUGAAGUGGAUGCGGGUUGAGAAAGCCUCUAGAGCUGACUGCAAGCAUAUAGUCACAUUUAGAGGCAAAUUUUAUGCAGUCUUUAUUAAUGGAGAUGUUUCUGUUAUUGAUCCUUAUUCGCUGGAAGCAACUCCCUUGAGGCCCUCGGACCGUUUGAGCUCACAAAACUAUCUAGUACCAUCUGGCAAUGACGAACUUUUCCUGGUUGAGAGAAUCAUUGUUCGUGGUAGUGUAAUAGAAUUUAGCAAGUUAGCAUGUAGAGUGAGUAGGCUAGAUGAGGAGACUGGUAAAUGGGUCGUGGUCACCGAUUUGGGAGACCGUGUAUUGUUAAUUGGACAAUUGGGAAAUAGCUCCUGCUCGGCUAAGGAACUUCCUGAUGGUUGUGGUGUGAGUGGGAACUCAAUGUUGUUCAUCAAUGAGAUAUUCAAUGAAACUUAUUCCUAUAAAUAUGGAGUAGAUACAGGAAACGCAGAAGACAACCUUAAUUUGUGGAGAUCUUCGAAAGAGACUAGUGUAACGAUCCUCAACACAUCUCCAAUGGUGGCUCUCCGGAUAGACCGCGAAAAGCUGUAAAAUAUUACUCUGGAUACCUGAGACAUCUGUUGAUUGUUGUUUUUAUUAGCUAAAAAUAUAUUUUCCUAAUGAUUUCUGUAAAGAUUUUGUGAUCUCUGAUGUUAUGGUGAUAUUCUAUUAUCAAUUUUUGUAGUUCUAAACUAUCUACCACAAGUCCACAACCUUAUUGUCUCUAUCAUGGAAAUGGUUGUCUUAUGAACUCUCUGUGCUCUUGGUAACACACGGUCUUGGUCUUGAACUGACAUUGCUCCGUGUGAAUAUGUGUUUGGUGAUCAAGCUUGUAUACUAGUGUCUGAACGAAACCAGGGCAGGGCAGACACAUUGUUCUCCUCUACGAUCAAAAAGUGACCUAUGCAGCUUCUCAUAUGCUUCAAUUUUAUUUGACACUUCUUCUCUCCAAUCAUUUAGCAUUGUGUUAUGAGACAGGUUAGAACGUUUGUUAAUUUGGAGUACAAUAUUUGUCUCAUGAACUCUCCAAACUGGCUGCGUUCUCAGGUACCACAAGGUCAUGUGUUUACAUCCGGUAUUUAAACCGGAUGUAAACCAAUACAUUAAACCGGAGAUUUAUAGUCAAUAGUUAAGAUGUGUAUGUAAACCGAUACCUUUGAAUUCGGAACUUUCUUCUUCCCCAAUCUCCCAAAUCAAAAUACACUAAACCCUAAAAUUCUCUCGCUGAGACAGUCACAGUUGAGUAAUUUCUUCUCCGACAACUUCUCCAUCCUUUGGUUCUGUCUUCAUAAUCGUUUGCAUUAAGACUGGUAUGUUUCUCGGGAUUUAGCUCCUCUCAUAAUUGUAGAAUCUCAUUGUAACAAACUGAUUCAUCUGCUAUAUAGAUUAUAGUGAUUGUUGUCUAGCCUUCUUUGAGUAAAUCUUCUGGAUUUUAUACUAAUUCUUCAAAAUUGAUUCCUUUGUUAAGCUUAAAACUGAUAGUGUAGUGUCAGUGUGUGUUAGGGUAGUCAAUUCAGAUCAGAUUGUUAUGAUAUAAGUUUUUUUUAAUGUUCAUGUUUGUUUCAAAAUUGAAGCUGUUUUUUUCUUUAAUCAGAAUCCAUGGCUUAGAAAAAGAAGAUAUCAUCGUUAAUGCCAGACUGGUCUCAGCUCCCGGAGGAGCUACUUCAACUUAUCUCACAGAAACUGGAACUUGAGGAUCACUGUUUCGAUGUCAUUCAUGCUCGAUCUGUUUGUCACUUGUGGCGGUCCUCAUUUCCUUUUCCUUCUUGCCUGUUACGCCCAAGUUAUUCUCUUCCCUCGUUCCCGGGUUUCCCUAUCAAAGACAAAGAUUCAUGUACCCUCGAGAAGCUUCCUUUGUUCCUCUUUAGAGUCAAAACAUCUGCUGGUGAUGUUGUUUCUGAGUAUUUUCUAGGAGCAGUAGGCCGCGAUGGGUCAGUUGAUCAUAUGAAGCUUCUUUCAUCUCCCCUUGAGUGCUCAGUGAAAAACAAGAUUCCAGGAUCUGACCCAACCUUGAUGAAGAUGCUCGACUGUCAGAUUCUCUCUCUAGGCCAUCAGUACAGAAUGGCCGGUUUGUGUCCUGAAGAAUGGAGAGUAUAUCAGAAAAGUGUGGUUUUCCUUCCGCUCAACAAAAAUGGAGAAAAACGAGAAUUUGUGGUGCUCCUCAACUACUCUGAAGGUUUGUUGGUGCUAAGAAGUGCUGAAAUGAGGUGGAAACCGCUUAAGUGCCGAAGUUUUGUUGAUCUUCAAUGCACGCAUUUAGUCACUUUUAGAGGCAGAUUUUAUGCAGUCUUUUUUACUGGAAUAAUUGUGGUUAUCGAUCCUUAUUCUCUGCAAGUGACUCGCCUUAUGCCUUCACAGCCUCUGCGCGGAAGUGAUUAUUUGAUUCCAUCUGGCAAUGAUGAGCUUUUCCUGGUCCAGAAAUUCAAUCCUUUUCCUGAUGCUGAUGUGUUAGAUUUUAAUCGUUUCACAUGUAGAGUAAGUAAGCUAGAUGAGGAGGCUGGUACAUGGGUUGUGGUCAGCGAUUUGGGAGACCGUGUGUUGUUUCUUGGAAACUUUGGGAAUGUCUGCUGCUCUGCUAAGGAGCUUCCUGAUGGAUGUGGUGUGAGUGGGAACUCAAUUGUGUACACCAAUGCAGGCUAUGUAACUUUUGCCUACAAAUAUGGAGUACAGACAGGAAGGGCGGAAGACGAGCUCAAUAUUUGGAGAUUCUCAAGAGAGAAAUGUGUGACGGUCCCCAGCACAUUUCCUGCGGUGGCUCUCCGAGUUGAAGACCAAGUCGAAAAUCUCGCUUUGGGUACUUGAGACAUACUGAUGGUUUUGUAUAUAUUUUGUGUCACGACCAUAUGCUGAAAACUAGAUAACUUGUAUGUCAGUUUUAGUUUUAGUUUUUGUUCUAACCAAUUACUUUCUCAAGACCAGACAACUAUGUCUGUGGAAAUGGUUGUCUCAUAAACUCUCAAAGCUAUGUUUGGCUGUGGUCAUGCUUGUGUAGUUCAAGUAUGCCUGUAGCUUGUGUAGUUCAAGUAUGCAUGUAGCUUGUGUAGUUAAAGUAGGCUGCUUUUAGUUUUUAACAAUGGUUACAUUCUUGUUUAAGGUAAUGGUGCCUUAGUAGCGUGCGUAGUUCAUUGUCCAAGUCUGGAGUUAUCUCCAUGUUUAAACUGGUCCAAACGCGGCGAAAAGUAACAUUUCUGCUUUAGUUGGAUCCUUCAGAUGGUGACGAUCAGGAUAAACCUUGUUUUGUUUAGGGUAAGACAGGAAGAAGAAGAAGAAAAGUCGAUAAACUGUGAAACAAGAAAACAAAGUCUAGCUUGGUGUUCAAUACUCUUAAAGAUGUCAUUUAACUUCUUUUGUUUUGUGGAUACACAUCUUCAAAAAUUUAAUAGUUUUCACAUCUUCAGUGAUUAAAUAGUUUUCUUAUUGGACGAAAUCAUUUUGGAAUCUUACUUUCUAGAGCCCAAGCAGAAAAUUAAUUAACUUGUAGGUGGUUACGGUUUUCUAAAGUGGUAAAAAGUAGCAUUUUGAAAACAUUUGGUGUAAUAUUUGCUUUUGAAAAACAUUUUUGUAGCUCAUACACAUUUGCCUACCUCACUUGGCUUAGGUUUGCAGUUUGCUAUUUUUGAACAUAUUAUGAAAGUUCAAAAGACAUUUAUCCACUUUUUUUUAGAUGAUCGAUAAUUAAUCUAAUCAUCUGUUUGUUGCCAUUUUUUUAUUAAUUUUUUUUUCUUUAAUGUCUUACCCCCAACCAAAUUUAUAGUCCAUCUUUAAAGCGUGGAAGAUCCUUGUUGUGAAAAGAAGUUGAGUCUAUUACGAACCAACCGAUCAAUAAACUUGACAACUGACAAGCUGCUCCCAAGGCGUUGGGAUAUCUCUAUGCCGUCCACAGUUUUGUGCUGUUAACGUAGUGUGGGAAUUCAGAUGAAGCUUUGGAAAACAUACAAUACUAAGACAUUUGUUUGUUUUGGUUUUAUUAGAUUAAAUUCAAAUUAUUCUUUAUGAUUUUAGGUAAGGAUUUGGUGAUAUCUCAUGAUAGAAUGAUAUGUGGAAAGCACUUGAUAGUUUAGUUUUAAUUUAGUUCUUCGAUAUCCUUUUUGUUACUGGGUGCGAAACGUAAAUGGUAACCGUUGAAUCUAACUGAAUCGGGAUGAAUUACGAAAUUUAGCUGAAUUUAUUUGUGUUUUUAUAGAAUUUAGCGGAAUAAUUUUUAAAUUUAAAUGGUAACUGAUGUAUCUAACUGGAUUUUUAAAUAAAUCAAUGAAACAUAAAAGUUUUCAAAAUAUAUAAUGUAAAGUAGUGAACAAUGUUAAAUUAGAUACUUAAAUUUUUAUCAAAUAUAAUUAUCAUAGAAAACCCUUACUACAAUUUUUUAAUUUUUAAUUCUUAAUUUUUUUUUCAGUGCACACAUUUAUAUUUUUAGUUAAAUAUUAACCCGUUUUACUAACAUUGUUAAUAAAUCUACAAAAACAAAAUUCACUUGAUACAAAUUUUUUUAAAGAAUUUAACCAACUUCAUCAGUAUUAUUAUUAUUACUAGUAUUUUUUUUUUUUAAAGAAGAGCUAACUAAUUUCUAUACUUAUUAGGAAAACUUUAUGAAAUUUGUAAUUUUUAAUAUUAAAAUAUUAAAUUUUUAUUAAAACCAUAUUAUAAUAAAGCAUUUUAAAUGAUAAAAUAUUACAUAAUCUAAUGAUAAGAUUAAAUUUCUCAACUUUCCUCAACUUUUUAUUUAUGUACAAUAAAAUGAUAUAACCAAAAUUAAACAAUUCCACAAUACAUAUCUUGACCCAAAUCUAAAGUGGCUUCUUAAGAUUACAACUAAUCUAAGCCUUUAGAUUAGUAACACGUGUGUUCCGCGUAAUCCACUUGUAGCCACCUUCCAUUUCAGCUAGAAGCUCUCUCUCAUUGACCCAUUUGGGUGCUUUGAAGCUAAAAAGACAACGAAGAUUCGCGACAACAUCUCCUCAGAGUCCAACCCAAAAGUUCAAAACCCUAAGCUAGAUUCUUUGCAGGUGACUGUAGAAUCUUUCUCUUAUGAACAUAUAUUGAUUCUCGAUUUUUUGGUCUUCAAAACAUGUUUGCAAAUAAACCUAUUCAUGUUUUGUUUGCUAUUUCAAAAACCCUAGACGUUAUUAUCGAUGAUCCUAGAUUUUGAUCACAUCUACGUUUGCUACUGCUUCCAUUAACCCUAGAAAUUGUACUUUUAUUUAUGUGUUCAAAAUCGUAGUUGUGUCCGCUUCCAUCAGCAAAAAUAUCAGAAGUAAUCAAAAACCCUAGAAGUCAUUAUCCAUGAAUCAUGAUGCUAGAUUGAUCUCAUCUUCUCUGAUUGUAUAUGUUUGCUACUGCUUCGUUUCUAGUCAUGAUUUUGUUUCUCUCUUUUGUCAAUAUUAAUUCUCAUAUUUGGUUAACCCUAGAAAUUGUAUAUACUGUGUAGUUUAAUUUUAUGUUAUUGCAGUUGUGACCGCCUCCAUCAGCAAAAAAAUGGCAAAGGAACAGAACAAAUUGUCCAAGCUAGACUGGUCUCUUCUCCCUGAAGAGUUACUUGACCUUAUCGCCAAGAAUCUGGAGAACGAAGACUACUGUUUCGAUGUUGUUCAUGCUCGUUCUGUUUGCACCUCGUGGCGAUCCUCAUUCCCCUUCCCUUCUUGUCUUUUAACCAUGCGUCAACGUCUUCCUACUUUUAUCGGUUUCCCUUUUGAAAGCAUGUACGGCUCGUUCAUUGUCGAGAAGAUACCUUUGUUUCUCUUAAGAGUUAAAGCUCCUGCUGCUGUGUCGCCUUCUGAGUAUUAUCUUGGAGAAAUAAAAGAACCGAAGGUUCAUACGGAGCUUCCAUCUCCUAUUCAGUGCACACUAAAAAUGACGAUCCCAGAAUCUGGUUCAACGGUGAUGAACAUGCUCGGCUGCCAGAUCAUCUCUUUGGGUCACCAGUACAGAUUAAUAUACGUUUCGGACAGUAAGAUGCCAAGAGGAUACGGAGGUAUGGCUUAUCUUCCGCUCGAGGUGAGAGGAAAAAGAGAAUUCGUUGUGGUCGUCAUUUACAACAGAUAUGUUUUGGCGUUACAAAGUGAGGAUAUGCAGUGGAUGCCGGUUAAUAGAACUACAUGGGAUGCAUGCGAGAGUAUAGUCAGUUUUAGAGGCAAGUUUUAUGCAGUCUUAGGUAACGGGGACAUAUGUGUUAUCGAUCCUUAUUCGCUGCUAGGAACUCCUUUACUGCCCUCAAUUCCUUAUAACUCAUUCAAGUAUCUAGUUCCAUCUGGUGAUGAUGAACUUUUCCUGGUUGAGAAAAUCCUUCCGGUUAAUUAUCGUUUAGUGGAUGAUUUAAAUAAUUUACCCUGUAGAGUAAGAAGGCUAGAUGAGGCGACUGGUACAUGGGUCGUGGUCAGCGAUUUGGGUGGCCGUGUUUUGUUUCUUGGAGAGCUUGGGAAUAUCUUUUGCUCAGUUAAGGAGCUUCCUGAUGGUUGUGGUAUAAGUGGGAACUCCAUUCUCUUCACCAAUGAGUAUGUCGAUGAAACUUUCGCCUAUAAAUAUGGAGUAAAUACAGGAAAUGCGGAUGACGACCUUAGCUUUUGGAGAUCCUCAAGAGAGAAUCUUGUUGAGAUUCUCACCAAUACUCCUCCGGUGGUGGCUCUCUGGAUUGACCACUAAGCUGUUGAAUCUUUACUUUAUAUACUUGAGACUUUGUGGGUUUGUAUAAUUUGGUCAAGAAACAUGUACUAUAUCUAAUGCUAUUAAGUGUAACAGUAUUUAAAGUCCUCCUCGAGUCAUUAGCUAAACACUUUUUUUAUUUCAAUGACUUUUUGAGUAAGUUUCAGAUAUAUAAAUAUUGGUGAUGUUUAAACUUGUAACUUCAGGUUCAUAUGUACAAGCAGCUUGCUAGUGGGCAUGUUGACAAUAAAGUGGAGUUCCAUAUAUAGUGGUGCACAAGUCUUAACUCUCUAUCCAAGCCCUUUAAUGUAUAUUCGGAAACCAAGAAGGUCAUCAAUGAACUUCUAAAUUAAACUAAGUCUCAUUUAACGAUAAACAAUAAUAAGCAUCAAUCAAAGCUUACGAGUUCCAAGGAGACUUCUCUUAAACAAAAAGCCAUCAUAAAGGCUAUAUGAGCUUGAGUUAAAUGAUGUGUACAUUACACUCUUAUUCUCCAUGAGAGUGUAGAGGCUGAGAGAUUUAAGGACUUUUGAUAAUGGCGAGUAAACAUUUCUUCAAGCCUCUUCUUCCCGGAUUCUACAGCCACUUGGUACUAUCUUACUUUCUGAUCUCUCUUUUUUUCUUUAUCUGUCUAUGUUUGAGAAGGUCCUUGAGAAAAAUGGGUCUGGUUUUGUAUUUGCAUGUUGUCUCAGACGAUUCCUAUAGCUUUCCUCUUGAAUAUAAAAGGAAGAAAUGAGCAGAAGACUGUGGAGCUGAGGUCAGACGCGUCAAAGAUAACUUGGAAAGUAAAGAUAGAUGGGGAGAGACUCACUGACGGUUGGAAAGAGUUUGCAGUGGCACAUGAUCUUCGAAUCGGUGACAUUGUUGUGUUCAGACAAGAGAGAGACAUGGCUUUCCAUGUUACAUUGUUGGGACCUAGUUGUUGUGAAAUUCAAUAUGUGUCUUGCCUAGAAGACCAUAACAACCUCAGUGAGUUGUGUUCUUUCGUCUCUAUAUAACUGUCCAUGACUAAUAUAAUGGAAUGUGCAUGGAUCUGUUCUUGUUUUCAGGGAUGAUUCAAAGGAAGAAGAGAGUAAGGAAGAAUCCAAGAAGAGAAGCAGAGUCUUCAUCACUAGAUCCCUCUUGUUUCGUGGCUAAUAUCACACCUUCGACCCUCCUUUAUGACAGACUGGUAUCUUACUCUUAACUUGAACCUCAAAGUAAAUUCCCCAUUAUAGGUUCUGAACUAAGAUAUAUUGUAAUGUUUUUAUAGCAUUUUCCAAGAAGUUUUGCAAGAGAAAAUGGUCUGGACACAAGAUGUGGAGAGAUUGUUCUGAUGAAUGAAAAGGGCAGAUCAUGGACUGUAGAUUUGAGAGGAAAGAGUUCAUGCGGAAGUGCUUACAUCAAACGAGGAUGGAGAAGUUUCUGCCAUGCUAAUGGACUAAGUGCAGGAAGUUUCUUUACUUUCAGACUGAUCCAAAGAGGAAGAACUCUGGUUCUACGUUUGUUCCCCAAAGAGACGGAAGAAGAAGAAGUAGAAGUAGUGUGUCUUUCCACAGAAGAGGAAAGUGAUAAAGAGAGAAGCCAAGAUGACUCACAAGAAUGUUCAAAAAGAAAGGAAAAGAAGAUAUCGAAAGCUUCAUCUUCGGGAUCCCAAAACCGAUUUGUGACACUAACUCUUACACGUUACAACGUCAGCUUAUCUAGACUGGUUAGUGUACUGAGCCAUUUUUUCUCUUUACAGCCUUAUAGAUUCUGAAUCCUUAUCUCCAUUGUUUGAAUCUUUCUCAGACUCUUCCAAUACCUUUCACAAAGGCGAGCGGCAUAAGAUUGGCAAAGGAGAUGAGUUUCUUGGAUAAACACGGAGUAAAAUGGUCUACGAGACUGAGGUUUGAGAAGGAAAGAAAGAGAAUGAGAUUAGUAGGAGGUUGGAAAGAGUUUUGCAAUGCUAACCAUGUGAAGAUAGGAGAAUCGGUCUUGUUGGAGCUAAUUUGGGAAAAACACAAAUCCUCUGUUCUUAAGUUCUGCUCCAAAGUGAUGCCAUAGACCAAGUGAAAAUGUUUCUUUAAGGUUAUUGAAUUGCAUGAAUCAAUGUUUAAAGCUUUUGUGUUUGAUAUCUCAGUCGUACUAGACGCUAGAUGCUUGCUUUAUCUGUAUGGUUAUGGUGUUGUGUAAUAAUAAUAUAUCGUCUCUUCUAAUUAUAUAUACAACGAUCCUGUGACAAGCUCUUCAGUUCCUAUUAAGAAUUGCAACGGUCUCUUGAAUUUAAACCAAAACACGUAAGAGUUCACUUGUAAACCGACCCACUCUCUCCCCACAACCCCAUAUUGAAACGACGGUUACAUUUUGAAGUUGUUUUUAUAGCUUGUGUGAGUUUUGGGGUUAAAGUAAAGACUCUUUCUCUUCCUGUGGUAUGUUUCUCGAUCUUAAUCUUUCUAUGUUAAUGUUUGUUUACAGUUUCCUAAAAACCUAGAAGCUUUUUUUUUUUUUGUUCUUUCAGAUAUUGAAAUCAGCAAAUAUGACAGAACCUGCAGAGAAACAGAAGCAAUCAUCAGUUAUGCUAGAUUGUGUAAGAACUCUUUUUCUCUCGGUUUAGUUUUUUUUCAAUUAAUAUCCUAGAAAUGAAUUUUUUUUUUUCUCUCUUUUAGGUUUCGACGUUGCAGCCUUGUUCAUCUCCAUCUGUCUCUAAAGAACAGACACUGUCCAUGCGAGACUGGUCUCUUCUCCCUGAAGAGCUACUUCAUCUUAUCGCCAAGUAUCUAGAGAACGAGGACUACUGUUUCGAUGUUGUUCAUGCUCGCUCUGUUUGCACCUCCCGUUUCCUUCUUGUCUCUUACGCCCAAGUUACUAUCUCCCCACAUUCGCCGAUGAAAGCAAAGUCAUGUGCACCCUCGAGAAGAUCCCUUUGUUCUUCUUUAGAGUAAAAACUCCUGCUAUGUUGCCUUCUAUGUAUUAUCUUGGAGACUUAGGCCAGGAUAACUCAGAGGAUCAUGUGGAGCUUCCAUCUCCGCUUCAGUGUUGCGUAAGAAUGAAGUUACCAGUGAUAACACUACACAAACAGAGAGCCUACCCUGUUUUGUUAAAACUCAAAACGAGUUGGGCCUAUCAAACAAAGUAAAGCCCAACAAACAAGGAAUUUUGAACUCACCUUCAUCAGCUGCAACGGAUACAGCGCUUCAAGACAAAACCAGAGAGAAAGCUGUCAUGUGUACGAACACAGUUAAAGUGAAGAACAGAUUCACAGCCCUUGAUUCUCUAGGCUCCGAUGGAUGAAGAACAUCUGUCAUGUGUCUCUUAGGGUUUUGUCUAAGUAUAAAUAUCAGUUGUAUUCCAAUUGUAAAACCUUAAGCUGAAAUAAGAAUACAAAAAGCUUCAAUCUCUGUUUUACUUUCAUGGUAUCAGAGCUCAGCACGCCUGAGCACGUGAAGAAUCGAUCUAUGGAGACCUACAUGGUUCCAUCACUCAACAUCUCCAACUGUGUUACUGUGAAACUCACUCAAAAAAAUUAUGUCCUUUGGAAGAACCAGUUUGAGACGUUCUUGGCUGGUCAAGGUCUGCUCGGCUUCGUCACUGGGUCUACUCCUCGUCCUGCAAACACCAUUCUUGUUCCUGGAAUCAACGGCUCUUCUACAGAGAAACCAAACCCAGAUUUUCAGAAAGAUAACCAAAACUGGAUCAAAACAGAUUGUGUUGUCAAGUCAUGGCUUUUAGGCUCUUUUGCUGAAGAUAUUCUCAGUGUUGUCCUCAACUGUUCUACAUCUCAUGAGGUAUGGAUAACUCUUGCAAAUCACUUUAAUCGUGUCUCCUCUUCUAGAUUGUUUGAGCUUCAGCGCAAGUUACAAAAUGUAGAGAAGAGAGAUAGAUCUAUGGAUGAGUAUCUUAGGGAACUUAAGAAUGUGUGUGAUCAGUUAGCUUCUGUUGGCAGUCAUGUUCCUGAAACUAUGAAAAUCUUUGCUGCCUUGAAUGGUUUGAAGAGAGAAUAUGAGCCUAUCAAAACAACUAUUGAAAACUCAGUAGAUUCAUCUCCACAUAUGACGUCAGAAGAUGUGGUACCUAAACUCUGUGGAUAUGAAGACAGGCUUCAAAGUUACUUGGUUGAGAAUAUUGUUUCUCCACACCUAGCCUUCACCACUACACCAUCCUCUGAAUACUAUCAAACAAACAACAGAGGUCGAGGUAACAACAAAUCAAGGUUCGGUCGUGGAGGAAGAAACUCAUUCUCUACACGAGGCAGGGGAUUUCAUCAGCAAAUAUCCUCAUCCUCAAGCUUUUCUAGCUCUCAGAGUGGCAGUGUGGUUUGUCAGAUAUGUGGAAAGACUGGUCAUCCUGCACUUCGCUGCUGGCACCGAUUCAACAACAGCUACCAAUACGAGGAGCUUCCGAUGGCUUUGGCUGCUAUGCGGAUUACUGACGUUACCGAUCAUCAAGGACAUGAUUGGCUGCCAGAUUCUGGCUCCACUGCACACGUCACAAACUCUGUUCAAGGACUUCAUCACUCUCAGCCGUAUCAAGGUAAUGAGUCACUAAUGAUUGGAGAUGGGAAUUUUCUUCCCAUUACUCAUACAGGUUCUACCAGUUUAGCUUCUACAGCAGGUAAUUUACCUUUAAAAGAUGUCCUUGUUUGCCCUGAUAUUGCUAAGUCAUUACUAUCUGUUUCAAAACUCACAAGAGAUUACCCCUGCUCUUUUGAAUUUGAUUGUGAUGGUGUUCGAAUUAAUGAUAAGGCAACCAAGAAGCUACUGGUAAUGGGAAAACUGCAUGAUGAUGGUGCUUAUGGUUUGGAGGAACCUCAGCUGCAAUCUUUCUACUCUACGCAUCAACAUUUGGCAAGUGAUGAAGUGUGGCACAGAAGACUUGGUCAUCCUCAUUAUCAAAUCCUCCAACAACUAUCCAAAGAUCAGUCCAUCUCCAUUAAUAAAUUUACCAAGCUGGUGUGUGAAGCUUGUCAGUUGGGAAAAAGUUCAAGACUCUCUUUUUCUCCUUCUACUUUUACUGCAUCUAGAGUACUAGAGAGGGUUCACUGUGACUUGUGGGGACCCUCUCCAAUAAUUUCUGUUCAAGGAUUCAGAUACUAUGUAGUAUUUGUUGAUAACUACUCAAGAUUCAGUUGGUUAUAUCCUUUAAAGAUGAAAUCCGAUUUUCUACAAAUAUUUCUUAUGUUUCAAAAGAUGGUGGAAACUCAGUUUGAGUGCAAGAUCAAAACCUUCCAGUGUGAUGGUGGGGGAGAGUUUAUAAGCAAACAGUUUCUGCAUCAUUUACAAGCCAGUGGAGUCCAACAAUAUCUCUCUUGUCCACAUACUCCUCAACAGAAUGGUUUAGCAGAGAGGAAACAUAGGCAUGUUACAGAAUUGGGGUUGUCAAUGAUUUAUCAAAGUCAGAUUCCACUAAAAUAUUGGGUUGAAUCAUUCUUUACAGCAAAUUUUCUCAUCAAUCUCCUUCCUACAUCAGCUCUCGAGAACAGCAAGUCACCAUUUGAGAAGCUAUUUGGCAGGAAACCAAAUUUCACAUCUCUAAGGGCCUUUGGUUGUGCUUGUUUCCCAACUCUGAGAGAUUAUGCUGCUAACAAGCUUGAUCCUAAGUCUCUGCAGUGUGUUUUCUUGGGGUAUAAUGAAAAGUAUAAGGGAUAUCGUUGUUUAUAUCCGCCAACAGGUCGUGUGUAUAUAAGUCGCCAUGUCGUCUUUAAUGAAGCUGUUUUUCCUUUUGCAUCAAUUUUUCAACAUCUUCAUCCUGAACCAGCCACUCCACUUGUUUCUGCUUGGCUCAAAGGAAUGCCUCCUACACAGAACAAUAUCAAUCAGAACUCAAAACCUUCUACUGGAACCUCACACAUAACGUCAGACUUACCAGUUCCACCUUUAAAUGAUGAGCAUUUUCCAAUGUUGCAGACUCAGGUCUCUGCUGCACUUGAAGACAAUCAUACUACUGUGGUAGAGGAGUGUACUGAGCGUACGACAGGCUCUGAUCCUGCUUCUAUUGGCGACAGCGCUUCUCCUACACAGGCAAGUACGAUCAUGUCUCAUGUUCAGCAAACCGAGGACCUACAGAUUCCAGCAAACAACACGGAUAAUGCUCACCCAAUGGUCACUCGAGCUAAAGCAGGAAUAAAGAAACCGAAUCCAAGAUAUGCUUUGCUCACUCAUAAGGUUAGUUAUCCUGAGCCGAAAACAGUCACACUAGCCUUAAAGGAUUCUGGUUGGAAUGCUGCAAUGCAAGAAGAAAUGAAUAAUUGCAGUGAAACAAAAACUUGGUCUUUAGUGCCUUAUACACCAAAUAUGCAUGUUCUUGGCAGCAAAUGGGUAUUUCGCACUAAGCUUAAUGCAGAUGGUACUUUGGAUAAGUUGAAAGCUCGUUUAGUGGCACAAGGAUUUGGUCAAGAAGAAGGAAUCGAUUACUUAGAGACCUACAGCCCAGUGGUUCGAACACCUACAGUGCGCCUUGUUCUGCAUCUAGCCACUUGUAUGAAUUGGGAACUUAAGCAAAUGGACGUCAAGAACGCGUUUCUCCAUGGCGAUCUUCAAGAAACUGUGUAUAUGAGACAACCUGCAGGGUUUGUGGACAAAGAUAAACCUGAUUAUGUUUGCCAUUUACAUAAAUCUCUAUAUGGCUUAAAACAGUCUCCAAGGGCCUGGUUUGACAAGUUUAGCACUUUUCUCUUGGAAUUUGGCUUUACUUGCAGCUUGUUUGACCCAUCUCUCUUUGUUUAUGCUCAUAACAAAGACACAAUUAUGCUUCUUCUCUAUGUUGAUGAUAUGGUGAUAACAGGAAACAACUCCAAGACUCUCUCACAUCUCCUUGUGGAGCUCAAUAAGCAGUUUAGAAUGAAGGACAUGGGUCAAGUGCACUAUUUUCUGGGUAUACAGUUUCAAGCUCACAAGGAUGGUCUCUUUAUGUCUCAGCAAAAAUAUGCAGAGGACCUUUUGAUCACUGCUUCAAUGGCAAAUUGUGCUCCAAUGCCUACACCACUUCCAUUAGAGCUCGACAAAGUUCCACAUCAACAAGAAGAAUUCUCUGAUCCGACUUAUUUCAGAAGCUUAGCCGGUAAACUGCAGUAUUUGACAUUGACAAGGCCUGACAUUCAAUUCUCAGUCAACUAUGUGUGCCAAAAGAUGCACAAACCAACUGUUUCAGACUUCCAUCUUCUAAAACGGAUUCUCAGGUAUGUUAAAGGGACAAUCAUCAUGGGUAUUUCAUACAACAGAGUCUCUCCUUUUGAUCUUAAUGCUUAUAGUGACAGCGACUAUGGUAAUUGUAAAGACACUAGACGAUCAGUUGGUGGUCUCUGCACUUUUAUGGGACAGAAUCUUAUCUCCUGGUCUUCAAAGAAACAUCCUACUGUCUCUAGAAGCUCCACUGAAGCCGAAUAUAGAACCAUAUCUGAAGCAGCCUCAGAAAUCAAAUGGAUGAGCUCUAUUUUGCGGGAGUUGAACGUUCCCUUACCAAAGACACCUGUGCUCUUCUGUGAUAACUUGUCUGCUGUGUAUUUGACAGCCAAUCCUGCUUUUCAUGCCAGAACCAAACACUUUGAUAUUGAUCAUCAUUAUGUCAGAGAAAGAGUGGCUUUGAAGACUUUGGUUGUUAAACAUAUACCAGGGCAUCACCAAAUAGCAGACAUCUUCACAAAAUCUCUCCCGAUUGGAGCUUUCCAUUACCUGCGCGGCAAACUCGGUGUUGGAGUUCCUCCCACUCCAAGUUUGAGGGGGGCUGAUAACACUACACAAACAGAGGGCCUACCCUGUUUUGUUAAAACUCAAAACGAGUUGGGCCUAUCAAACAAAGUAAAGCCCAACAAACAAGGAAUUUUGAACUCACCUUCAUCAGCUGCAACGGAUACAGCGCUUCAAGACAAAACCAGAGAGAAAGCUGUCAUGUGUACGAACACAGUUAAAGUGAAGAACAGAUUCACAGCCCUUGAUUCUCUAGGCUCCGAUGGAUGAAGAACAUCUGUCAUGUGUCUCUUAGGGUUUUGUCUAAGUAUAAAUAUCAGUUGUAUUCCAAUUGUAAAACCUUAAGCUGAAAUAAGAAUACAAAAAGCUUCAAUCUCUGUUUUACUUUCAACCAGGAUCUGAUCCAACCUUGAUGAACAUGCUAGACUGCCAGAUCUUCUCUCUAGGUCAUCAGUACAGAGUGAUAGGUCGGGAUCCUGAAGCUUGGCUAUCAUCCUACCAAGGCGUGGCUUUUCUUCCCUUAAACAAGGAAAGAGGAGAGUUCGUUGUGAUCUUCAACUACAGUAAUGAUUUGGUGGUGUUAAGAAGUAAAGAAAUGAAGUGGAUGUGCGUCUUAGGAAAAUCUCAGAUGCUUCAUGCAAGGAUGUAUUAGCUUUCAGAGGCAGGUUUUAUGCAGUCUUUCUUAACGGGGACGUUUUUGUUAUCGAUCCAUAUUCGCUGGUAGCGACUCCCCUGAAUCCCGCACAGCCUAUGAGAUCAGUAAAUUAUCUUGUUCAAUCUGGCAAUGAUGAACUUUUUCUCGUUGAGGCAACCAUCCCAGAGGCUGAAGUAAUUAUGUUUAGUAGGUUAACAUGUAGAGCGAGUAGGCUAGAUGAGGAGGCUGGCGAAUGGGUAGUGGUAAGCGAUUUUGGAGACCGCAUACUGUUUGGUAUAGAUUUUAGUUUUUACAAAAUCUUGAAUGGUAGUUUGUUUGGUUUUUAGAUUUUAAAUUUAAUUAUUUAUCAAAAACUUUUUUAAGGUAUUUGAAAAAGAAAUUGUUUCUGUUUUGGGCAUAAAAUGUUUUUAACAAAAAAACUCACGUAAAAGUUUUUUGGAAUCCACAAAAUUUGGUUUUUGGAUUCUAUGAACAAAUAAGCAAAAUCUCUAAAAAUUUGGUUUUCCUAAUUUUUAGGAAAUCUACUUCUAUCAAAAUCAUGAAUGCCUAACUAACUAGUUUUUGCAAAAUCAAAAACCAAAAACUAGUUCAAAAUCUGGAGCCAUUCAAGGCCUAAGCAUUCAAGCUUUACUAAUUUUGUUUUACCAUGUAAAAACAUAUUUUUAUAAUCUAUUCAUUCACCAUAAUCUAGAUUGCAUGGAAACUCAUUAUAUAGUUUGUUUCCGUUUCGGAAACACAACAAAUAUUACGAAAAUGCGGCUCAUAAUUUUUUUUUUUUGAAAAUACGAUAGAAGCUCACAUUUUCAUUUUAGAAAUGUGAUAAAAUCUUACAUUUCUAGUUUACAAAUUUAAUAGACAACUACUUUGGAAAUAUAUUGAUUUACGACAUAUAAUGAUACCUUUUGUAAAUUAAAAACCAAAUUAAUUUAAUUAAAAAUACACAUAUACAAGAAUAUAUGAUAUAUACAUUACCAAAAAAAGAGUAUAUAAAACCUAAAUUUAUGUCUAAGUGUUUUUAACUUUUAACCUUUAUUUUAUUUUUUUUUAUUUUUUUUUGAAAAUAAUGUUAAAUUAUAUUCAAAAGAAAAUGGGUUUCGUUUUUACAACAAGUGCAUCAAAUGUCGAAAUAGAAGUUGAAAUUUUGCUGAGAGUUCAGAAAAAGUAGUAGAAUCUAAAAAUCUUCAUGUUGCUUGUCUUGUGUGCAGCCACGUUUGGAAACUAGCAUCAUAUUUGUGGUCUGCCAUCCGCCGAAUUACUGUGCAUAGGUUGCGUACUAGAUGAUCGAUUUGCUUGAUCAGUUGUUCUGUCGAUGUGUGGGAGUUGCCAUGACGCCGAUCAUUGCGCUCUCGCCAAAUGCUGUGUAUAGUAGUCUGGAAGAUAUAUCGAGCAAGGAACUUCUCCACAUGGGGAAGUUGAUUGUUUGAGAUGUAAGUGAGAAGCGAGGUCCAGUCUGUUGUAUAGUUCCUUCUAAGAACGCCUUUAGCUAGCGCAGCCCAGACGGCCGAGGAGUAGCUACAAAUGAAGAAAAGAUGGUCUCUGGUUUCAAUGCUGUUGUUACACAGAACACAGUUGCCCGAUGCAUCUCUAUUCCAUCGGAGUAGCCUUACUCCUGUAGCUAAGCGAUCAUGCACUGCCAACCAUGCGCAGAGAGCAUGCUUUGGUGUUGCGUGAGGGAACCAAAUGCCGUUGUGCCAAGAAACUCUAGCAGAUUGAACCCGCGUAUUAUGCCAUGUGUCUUUUGUUGAGAAAUUUGGUUUGAAAUCGUCGUGUUUGCCCCGCCAAAGUAGGAGAUCCUGUUGGGUCGUGGCGUUGUGACGUUGGGUAGCCAAGACAUCUUCGAUUGCAUUUAGGUGCCCUUGGCGGUGUCUUCUCCUCCGACGUGAAGUCCAUGCUUGAGCCACAGUCAUGUGCCGAGCGAUCCCCAACUUUUAACCUUUAUCGUUCACUUAAACUAUUUAAAUAUCUAUAUUUUAGAUUAACGUAUUGUUUCAAAACAUUUUUUCUCAAUAUAUGGUUUUGAUAUUUUGUAUUUUAUGAUAAUAUAUAUAUUAAACAACUACUAGUUUUUUUUUUAAUCAUCAUCUUCUUUAUUGCUAAAAGUUGCAGGAACAGAGAAAGGAAUAAAAAACAGAGCAUAAUAAAUCGUAGAAAAUUAAUCAAACACAAGCUAACACCGGUCCCUUUGAAUGCGUUACUAGUUUACAAAACAUUUUUUUUCUUGUUUGCAAAACAUUUUUUUUCUAAGUAUCCGUUUCUGUUUCCAUGGAAAACAGACCAUAAUUUUGUUGUUACUAUAUUGUUAGUACUAGGCUCGGACCCGCGCUACAGCGCGGAUGAAAAGUGUCGGUUUUUAUUUUUUCCCGAAUUACGUAAACUUUUAACUGUUAAAAUGGAUUGUUGGUGUUGAAUUUGGCAAGUAUGAGAAUAUGUACUAUCGUGGAUGUAUACUUUCUCACGUAUGCUAGGUUUAGAUCCGCGCUACAGCGCGAAAGAAUAUUUUCAGGUUUAUUUUAUUUUAACGUGUUUUGUCGUAUGUGUUAUUAUUUCGUUCAUUUUAGUAUCAACAAUUAUUAUUUCGAAAUGUAUAUUUGGUUUCAAUUCUUUGAGAAAAGUGUGUUUUCGGAAAUUAAAUAUAAUAUUUUUAUAAACUAAAUAAAAGAACGUUUAUUAAACAAAUUGUAUACUCACAAUGUAUGUGGUGACGAACCAAUCAGCAAAAACCGUGUAUUUUAAAAAAAAUCAUGAAAAUCAUGUAUACACAUGUAUCACACACGAACAUAUGAGUUUGAAAGAUUUGUAUAUACUUGUAUCCUAUAAAAAUAAAAUAAAAAUAUUAAUAUACUUCAUAUUGAAUAAGAGACCAUAAUAUUCUUGUUAUUCACAUAUUAAAAUAUUUAGAACAUUUUAAGGAAAAUUCAGAGUUUAAGGUAAUUUAUUUAAACUAACUUAUGGAAUAUAUUCUUUAUGACUGAUUUUGUAUUAGUAGUAAUUCGAUGAUUAAUAAUUACAAAGAUAAAAUAUUGUUAUUAAAGUAUUUUUAGUUAAUUAUAAUAAUUAUCCUAAAAUAUUUUUUUUUGUAUCCAAAAUAUUUCGUAUUACUCAUUGAAAUAUAUUAGUGAUUGUCAAAUUUCUUUUUUUUUUCAAAAUUCAAAUAUAACCAUUUCUAGAUAUAUAUAGAUCUCUAUAAUUUUGCAUUAAUUAUGCUAUUGAUAAAAUAUUAUUCCUUUUUUAUAGGUAAUUCAAAUUGAUAAAGAUUGGAAUAAUUUUGAAACCUCUUUUCAUAUACUAUUUUUUUAUUCUGAUUAAAAUCUUUCAUUUAACAUAUUAGGAAAUAUAAAAAAUAAUAAAGAUUUAAUAUAUAUAAAAUCUUUCGUUUUUUAUAAAAUCUUUAAUAAAAUCUUUCGUUUUUAUAGCCAUAUAUAUUCAAAUUUUAUUUUUCGAAACAUUCAACUAAUUCAAACUAAUUAACAUUUUUAUUGAUUAUAUUACCAUUAUUUAUGUAUUUUAGAUGCAUUUUUAUAUUUUUUAUACCAAAUAUUUUUAAAUUAUAUUUUUCUAUAUAUCAAAUAUUUAAACUUUUAAAAAAUUAUAAUUUUUUUUUUGUUUUUCAUAUAAGAAAUUAAUAUAAUAAUUAGAAUAUUUUUAAAAUAUUGAGAUCUUUAUAUUCAUAAACAAAUUUUACUUAUAAGACUUAUUUUUUAUUUAGCAUUAAUAUAGUUUUCCUAAAUGAUAGGAAUCUGGUGUAUAUCAUUGAAAUAUUUGAAAAAUAUUUAACAAAAAAUUUGGCAAGUAUCCGAUUGAAAAUUUAACCCGGAAUUUUUUGAAAAACCCGACCCGAAUCCUUUGUGUACUUCUCUUUUACUAUAGUAGGGAUAUGAGAGCUAAUUUAGUUACCCUCUUUUCAGUUUCAGCUAAGUUGUGAUCUUUUUUUUUUUUUUUUAACUUGAUCUAAUAGUCUUAUAGAAAGCUGAAUCAGACUACAAAUCAUUCAAUGAUUUGAUUAGUUUAUAAGGAAUACCAUCCUUUAUCCAGAAGUAUGAAAGCAACAAUCUCGAUCGGCAUUUGUCUUUUUAAUUAUAUUAUUAGUAAUUACAUAUAUAUAUAUAUAUAUAUUCUGUUUUGGCUCCUGUUAUGGGUUUCUUGGAGCAGAUUUUUUUUUUUUUUUUUUUUGUGUAAUUAAAAGAAAUGAAAAAUGUGAACAUUAGAAAAAGGGUAAAAAAAAGAAUAUUGUCUUUUGACGUCGUCACUCGUGAGUUAUUUGUUGGCGUAAUAAGUCAAGAAAAUUGAAAUCGACACAAGAACCGCUCCCCUCAACGGCUCCUUCCUAUUCAAAAAAAUUGACCCUUUAGCAUUUUGGUACGUUCGUAAUUAAAACUGUUACAUCUUAGUUAAGCUAUCAAUCUUCUCUGGUCAUGCUUGUUUACAAGUUCCUUAACCCUUGAAUUGUAUUUUUUUUUUUCUUUUCAGAUUUCGAAAUCACACAACCAUGGCAAUGAAAAUGAAGACAUCAUCAUCACCAAUGUUGCCAGACUGGUCUCUUCUACCGGAGGAGUUACUUCAAAUUGUCUCCACAAAUGUGGAGGACUGUUUCGAUGUCGUUCAUGCUCGGUCUGUUUGCAACUCGUGGCGAUCCUCGUUUCCCUUUCCUUCUUGCCUCUUACGUCCAAGUUACUCUCUUCCCACAUUCGACGAGUUAACUCUCGAAAGCAAAGACUUGUGCACCCUCGAGAAGGUUCCUUUGUUCCUCUUUAGAGUCCAAGCUCCUACUGUUGCUUCCGAGUACUUUCUAGGAGGAAUAGGCCGAGAUGAUCAUAUGGAUCUUCCAUCUCCUCUUCAAUGUUCAGUAAAAGUUCAUAUCCAAGGAAAUGAUCCAACGUUAAUGAACAUGACCGACUGCCAGAUCCUCUCUCUAGGCCAUCAAUACAGAUUGGUUGGUUGGGAACCUAAAGAGUAUCGUGGUGCGGCUUUUCUACCGCUAAACAAGGAAGGAAGAAGAGGAGAAUUCGUUGUGCUCCUCAACUACACUAAUGUUUUGCUGGUGGUAACAAGUGCCGAAAUGAAGUGGAAGCGGCUUGAGAACGUCCCAGCUUCUAUAUGUUCAGAUUUAUUCACUUUUAGAGGUAAGUUUUAUGCAUCCUUUCUUGCAAAAAGUACUUUCGUUAUCGAUCCUUAUUCGCUGGAGGUGACUCUCCUCACGCCCUCACCUCUUAAGCCACUAAACUAUAUGGUGGCAUCUGGUGAUGACGAACUUUUCCUGGUUGAAGUAAGCAUGCCAAGUUGUAAGGUAUUAGAUUUUAGCCGGUUCACAUGUAAAGUGAGUAGACUAGAUGAGGAAGGUGGGAAAUGGGUUGAGGUCAAAGAUCUGGGAGACCGUGUGUUGUUUAUUGGACAUUUUGGUAAUGUCUCUUGCUCAGCUAAGAAGCUCCCUGAUGGUUGUGGUGUGAGUGGGAACUCAAUUUUGUUCACUGAUGUACCAACUUAUGCCUAUAAAUAUGGAGUACAUACUGGUAACGUGGGAGAUGAUCUCAAUUGUUGGAGAGCCACAAGAGAGAAUCGUGUGAUGAUCUUCAACACAGAACCAGUUUUGGCUCUCCAAGUUGAGCACUAAGUCAUUCUGUUGGUUAUUUAUUUUUCUUUAUUAGACCACAAAUAAACCUUGCUUUAGUCAUAGUUAUAGACUUUGUGAUCUCUGUUGUUGCCCAUCGUCUUAUAUUUUUUUUUUUUGUGUCACGGUGAUAUGCUGAAGACUAAUAUCAUUUGGUAUCCAAGUCUUAAUAUAUUUUUGUUUAAAACUAUCCCCAACACAACCAUGUCUAUGCAUGAAAAUAUUGUUUCCUGAACUCUUGAAAGAUGUGUUUGGCUGUAAUCUUGAUCAUAAGUCAGUUUUGACCAAAGUUUGUCAACAGUGCAAAAAGUUUCUCAGUUUUGACCAAAGAUGUGUUUUAUUCUUAGUCUCCAGCAUUGCACAAUUUGCCUUUGACACAUCACACAUAUGUGCCAUAGGUAGGUUAAUGAACAUGUGUUGAUGACAAAAAGAAGGUAGGUAUGUCAAUCGACCUGGCCCGGCCCAAAAAAUAUUCGAACCUAUAUUUCAAAGCCUAGAUGGCUACAGGGUUUUUUCGUCCUUUUUUGGUUUUACUUACGGAUAAAAAAAAAUCAACUUCUAAGUUCAAAAUAAUUUUUAAAUAACAAUAUUUAAAGGUAUACUAUAAAAACAAUACAUCAAAUUUU